GUCUCCAUCACAACCAUCAUACCGAUCCGCAGUACCGCUACCGCUCAACCGCUGAUUCUGUUUUUGUCGUAAAGUAAACGUAAACUCGUAAACGAAACCUUGCGGUUAAUGUUUGGGCAAUGGGAGUUUGGAAUGAAGAAGUCGUGCUGUGUUUCUUUCAGUAAAGAAAGAUUUGCAUAGAAAGGCGAAAUACUUCAUGAAUAAUUUUACGGCAAGAAGCUGCAUAAUGAUACUACGAUACACUUUGACAUGAGUAUAUCUGAAAUUCCAGUGAACCAGUCAGUUCACCAGCAACAGUUUCUAGUCCUGGCCAAAAGCCAGAAAACAAUGUAAGAAGAAACAUCAGCAAUUUAUCAUCGCAGGAUACCACAACAGAUUUGUGCAUCACACAGGGUAAUCAAGCGUUUGCAGUCAGCAUACUCAGUAAUCUUGUUUCUAAAGACGAACUGAAAUCCUUGAAGAUGUCUUGGGACUGUUGUCACUUUGUCCAACAGCGUCCUGGAAGAACUGCAACUUUGCAUCACCACAAUUUAAAACAUUCCAGCCACAGAGUUCCAGUACAGCAUAUCCUUUACAGUCUUCCGGUCUUCGGCUGCCUAAGGAAUAUGUUGGAUAUCACUUGGUGGCUAAAAUUAUGUCUGCUAGAUGACGUGAGUGUCUUACUCAAGACAUCAUCAGUGUCAAGACAAAAUUCCGCCAUUUCUUAAACGCUGAUUUGAUUGGAAACCAUGUUAAAAAUGUAUCGUUUCGAUUGGAUACUUAAUAUGGCGUACUUUUCUUUCUUGAAAUUUUUAUUCGUAAAAAUGGUAUCUAUCUGGUAACAGCCUACAAUUUCUACAUGGCAAUUUCAUCUGAUCAUGUGGCCUGAGCAGCUGCACAAAAUGUCCUCUCUUUUUCCUGUACCAGCUUCAUGUUUGUCAGAAACACUUCAGAACAAUUAGGGAAUAACAUGCUGGUGGAGUCUGAGCUUCUGAUCUUCUCCGUUGCUGCCCAACAUAAAUAUGGAUUUGAAGCAGCCAUCUGAUAAAGGGUGUUUUGCUACCUGUGGUGCUGUGUUUCAUCACUUGAAGAAACACUUAGCUACAAUUGAAGUUUAUCGUUUAUGUUCCCGUAGUUGCUGUCCGAUGUGGCACGCUGUUGCACCCUAUGCUGGAGAAAUGUCUCUCUGCAUUCAACUGGUCGUUCCUUGGUGGUGGUGUCGUGUUACCGAAGUUGCAUCAUUAUUUGUCAAAUUGUCAUCGUGUCUAUGCAGUUUACCAUUUAUAAGUUAAGACGCAACAAAAACAAUUAUGGGAUGUUUAUGUCAAACAAAUAAUAAACAUGUUUUAGGGGUUGGGAAAGGAAAGGGAUGAUGUUGGAGGGGGUAGGAUAUUUCAAGUUUGGAUAAAAAUUCAGUUAAUCUAUAACCCCACAAACAUAUCCCUACUAAUUAAUCUUCAAACCCCACAAACGUUUACCUUCCAAUUCUUCCAACCCCACAAACCUACACCUACCGACCUUCAA
RNAcentral lists this long non-coding RNA (1503 nucleotides) under Daphnia pulicaria. RNAcentral's name for it is "uncharacterized LOC124314502, transcript variant X2". The record is from RNAcentral. Lineage: Eukaryota; Metazoa; Arthropoda; Branchiopoda; Diplostraca; Daphniidae.